UCGCUGCUCCUCCGGUGACCCUCGCGAGCGGCGCGACCGGAUGGGGCACGAACCCUAGCGGCGCGGUCGGAUGGGUAACGGACCCUAGCGGCGUGGCCGGAUGGGGCACGGGCGCCAGCGGUGGAGCUGGUUGGGGUGCGGCGGCCAACAGGCAUGAGAUUCAAUCGUGAACGAUGAUUAAUCGGGCCAUUAAUGCCAAUCGACGCUCCGGGAAGCUGGUCCUUUCCUACUCUGCUCAGUUUCGCAAACCACAGUCCAAAAGCAAGGUGAUGGGUGUUGCUUAGGUUCCAGCUCUGUUUGGUUUAAGAUUCUCUCCAGGUUGGAAUUCUAGCGACGUACUGCUUGGUAUCUUUGGUUCUUCCAGUUGAUCCAACGGCUAAUGGACAACCCAGACUGGCCGCUGCUCCUUUCCCAAUCUCCUCACUCUUGCAAACCAAUCUCCAGCAGCGAUGGGUGAUGUUCAGGUGUUCUGUUGGAUUAGAAAGUUUAGGAAUUAACCAUUUGGAAGAUUCUAAUGCUUGGAUGCUCGAUACAAGGUCGAAUUCAAGCUAUGUACUGCUGGUUUCCUUUCUUUCCUCCACGGCGACCUGAUACGGCCCAUACGGGCUGCAAGGAGGCUCCAGAGUUACCACUACCAUUGGUCCUCCCUGCCAUUUGCUGAAUUAUGCUUCAUCGCAUAUUAGCCAGAAUUCGUGGCUGUUGUUCUAUAAUCGUAAUCGAUCAAGCCACUUCCCAGUGCUUAUGUAAUCUUUGUACUGGUAGGAACUAGGAAUUUGGAAAAACAAAUCAGUACUACUAAUUUACCGUGGAGCCGUGACAACAUCGUGCUUUGUUUAUUCACUUUUAAAAGUUAAACUUAAACUGGCAAAGUGGUUACUGUUUUAUUUCAUCCCUGUUAGUCAAAGCUCAUGUAAUGUGACUUGCCAAGUUUCUGUUGAAUGUAUUGUUUAAAAAGAAAGAUCCGAAGGACUGAUUAUUUGGCAUCAAAUUAAGUACUGUCCUGCAUGAACUUUGUCAUGUUUACCCUCUUCUAUAUUUUUUAUAUGCUUUACCAACUAUAUCUCCUGAUGUUAUAAGUAUUACCUUUGUAGGCUGAUACUAUUACAGUGAAGACAUAGAACAUGAAUUAUAGAAGUUAUUGAGCAAGGAGUGAGGCAGAUUUUGCAGAAAGAAACACCUAACAUCCAACAGCUGACAGCAUCAUAAGCAUUGUUUCCCCUUACCAAUAACGGUGCCAUGUAAAGGGACUAGCUACACCUACUGAUUAAUAAUACAAAGAUUAAGAUUCCCUGGGAGUUGGGAUUGCAUCUUUAUUUUGCGGCCACUUCAGUUCUUUGCUUUGAUAUGGCAGGAUUGGUCAUCUGAUAACCCUAAAAGGACAAUGCUGCAAGGAGAAACAUCAGUAUGAGCUGCAAGGACAAGAUGCCCACCCAGCCUGUGCUGGCAGCAACCUGACUUCGUUGUCAACAACUUGAUGAGGACCAAAUCGACUUCAGAUUAUUUCUAGAAGAUGCUAUAUACAAAUCCUUUCUCUGCAAUUUUUUGCCUCACACAACUUUCACCCUUUUCAAGCCAACGCCGUCGGCCAGUACAACCACUUCCUCCUCCUUCAUUUAUCUCUCUCUUGCUGACUGCCUUCCUGCUUCCUUCAGGCAGAUUCAUGAUGCACACAUGAGCAAAGUCAAAUUUAAUCGCACCCAGAAGAUGGCGGCAAGCACAUUUGGCUGCCGGGACAAGAAAUAGUUUAUCCGUCACUGCCAUUUGCAUUAUCCAUGCCUGUUGAUGUGGUUGAUACUUACAGCAAGUACUCGCUCAUCCUCUCACUGAAUCUAUAGUUUUAUCUUCCUAGCUGUUUAUGGCUGAAACUGGGGAUUACGUAUUACAAGCUCGCAGUUAUGUACUGCUGGAGAAGGAAAAAUUAGUCAGUGGCUGCUGUUGAUGCUCAUGCCCUUUUGCCGGAAAUAGUAACAACAACAGCAGUCACCUUGGGUAAUUUCUCUUACCCAAUAUAUUUACAGUUGUCUCUCUAAGCUAUUUAUGUGUCAAAUUCAGGACGAGGCAAGGUAGACCUCAGAACUAUGUAUGACGUUUCUUUACUGAUGCAGUUUAUGGCUGAAACUGGGGAUUACGUAUUACAAGCGUGCCUCACAGUUAUGUACUGCUGGAGAAGGAAUAAUUAGUCAGUGG
Molecule: long non-coding RNA, 2187 nt
Organism: Triticum aestivum (bread wheat)
Lineage: Eukaryota; Viridiplantae; Streptophyta; Magnoliopsida; Poales; Poaceae
Exons: 9
Source: RefSeq, a predicted model, not a curated record